This 3030-nucleotide long non-coding RNA is filed under the name Nicotiana tabacum (common tobacco). Its description in RNAcentral is "long non-coding RNA (NTAB_LNC001273)". The record is from RNAcentral. Lineage: Eukaryota; Viridiplantae; Streptophyta; Magnoliopsida; Solanales; Solanaceae.
UUGGUUAGAGUCUCGUGUUGAUAACGUAUUAUAAAAUAAUAAAAGAAGAAGAAGAGUAUUACAGAACAAAGUACAGAGAAAGGGAAUUCUUAUAGAUAUGGGAUGAUUUACAAUGAAAUAGAACCCUCUAUUUAUAUGGAGAAGGUGACUUAGCCACCAAGUAAUAAACCCUAAAAUCUAUUUAAAUAUAGACAUUCACCAUAAAUAAAAUUCUAUUUAUAACAUAGUUAACGUAUUUCUUAAAUACAUAAGAAAUUUGACCAAAAGCUAUUAACUCAAUGGUAAAUACGUCCCUGUGGAUAAGCAUCAUUACCAUCUGUUGGGAAGAGUAAAAACGUUCGAACGUGAACAUCAUUUGGCCAGGUGGUGGGUAGUCAUUCAUGUCAUGGAAAACUUGAAUCAAAUGGGAAAUGACUUUAAAGUUACACCACUAAAUUUUCUGUAAGUUCAGUUCUAGCUCUACUGAAACAUGCCAAGUGCUCCAUUUCCUGCUUCCUCGCCAAUCUAGAAGAAAGCAAUUGACAUGAAAUCAAAUAGACGAUUUUUUUUAUAAGACGAUGUUGCACCCAAGCUUUCUAGUGUACUGAAACAUUGAUCAUCAAGCUUUAUUUUCUAUCUUAGCCAAGUUUUUAAACAAGUAAAUAGGAAUGGUGGGAUUAUACAUUAAAGUCAAUAGUAGCUUUAGCAAACACGACAAGUAAAUAAGGACGGACGGAACAUAUACCGCCGAAGGAACAUAUGUACUUUCAUAGUGUGAAAAAUAUUUACUGUAAAUAAAUGAUCAACUGUAAUGCAUUUCAGAAGAUGGAAAGACAUGCAGUAGUAGUCUCUAACAACAAAUGCUAGAAAGAAUUAAGUACUAUAACUAGCUAAAAAUCAAUAAGAUAUUUAGAUACCAACCAGUCCUCAGUUAUUGAUCAAUUUUUCAACCUUUUCUCAUAUUAUGCAUUAGAAUGUUUGGUACGUACAAUUUGGUUGAUAGGCACUUAUAACUCGUCCCAUAUAUACUCAUCACAUAGCCUGACUACUACGAAUGCAUUUAAUUAGUCUGCUUUAACGGUAGACCAAAAACAUAUCCCUUAUACUUUAAUGGAAAUGUCAGACAUUAAUCAUGAGCCUACUUUCCUGCCCUCUCUCUACAAUCUUCUUGUACUGUAAUGUGAAAUCACCCAUCUGCAGUGAUUAAGUGUGAAAAUGCACAAGUCUUUUUUCCCACUCCCAAAAACUAGGGUCUACUCAUAGUGUCAUAUUAUACCUACAUUUACCUGUACCCAGCAGCUCAUCAACUGUUGAGUCCCAUCAGCAUCCAUCGUGAUAUUUGCACUAAUUAAGCGAACACUAGCUCACAAAGAUUACAGAGCGCACACAUGAAAAACAUUAAAGAGGAGCAGGUCAUAUGAUGUCUCAUUUGACUUGAGUUAAUAUUGGACUUAACUGUCCGACUACUACUUUCUUUUUACAUAAUUAAAGAAUUUUUAUAUUAUUAAUUAUCUACUCAACAAAUUAAUUGUUGACAAAAAGUGAAUUAGUAAUCUCAAAAAUAAAGUAAGUUACCUAUUAGAACAUGUUAUAAUAUACUGGUAGCGUAAAACAGCCUCAUCUUUCUGGUACCAGGAAAUUCGAAUCCAUUCAAACCCAACACUUUCUUAGUUUGGUUAAAAUAGUGAUGAAACAAAGAGAUGUUUUACGAGAAAUAAUACUUUCUCUGUUGAAAAAAUGAUUGGACUACUUCCUUAUUAAUCCGUUUCAAAAAGAUUGGCAUGAUCUACACAAAUACUAUCACAAGUUUUAAGACCACAAAUUUCAAAAAUUUUACAACUACACAAAUAUUAUGGCUUUUAUAAAGACUAUGUAUCUCAAAAGUUUUUCCUUAUUUAUUAAAUUAAACUAGGACAAUCUUUUUAAAACGGAAGGAGUAACGAACAAAAACGCAUCCCUGCCUAUUUUUCUUACCACAUGGGAAAGAUCAGCUGCAUCUUUCUGUAUCUCUUUAACCAUAGAGUUGCAUUAAGAGCAUCAAAAAGUGUCAUAUAUAUACAUAUGGGGCUACGUAGCAAAGGAGGUAAUGGGAAAAAGGACUAAAUAAAGUUAAAACAUGAAAUACAUGAACAAAUUCUGAAAAUUAGGGUUCUUAGCUCCAUGUAACAUUGUCAAGUCGAGGAUAGUUGUUCCAUUAUUCCUAGAAGAAACUUGAGCUAGCCUUGAAGCAUUAGAUUUUUUUUUUUUUAAAUCGAAGGUUUAAACAAGAAAAAUAAACAUGGAUUAGAUGAAUGAUGAUGAAGAGAAAAUAACUGAAAGAAAGAAUAAUCAAGUGAACAAAAACCUGGGGAGAACAAAAACAUGAAGAACGUGUGUAAGAAGAAAGGAUCUCUCUUGUUUGAUGUAUCACGAGAGUUUUACAAAGAGAAAUCAACACAGCUCUAUUGGCAGUAUGCCCACCUCCACGUUAAUUAAACCUCCUUUUUUUUUGUCCUUUUCAUUUUCUUGGUCAUCUUCAUUUCUAAAGAAGAGGGAGGUGGACAGAAUGCCAAAGAACUCUGUAAGAAACCCUUUGCCAAACUUCCAUGAAACUGCAUAUUAUCAUCAUAGUCUCUGCAUCAUCUUUAGUUUUUCCCUCUGUCUGUAAUAAGAUGAAAGAAACAUAUACUAGAAAGUCGGCUAUGAGAGUUGGGCACUAUUUAAGAUGGUGAGAUAGGGUUGAGACUUGAGAGAGAGAGAGAGAGCAUUGAAAUUGCUGUAAAAUAAUUAAUAGGGGAGGUAGAUACUGGAGAGAAAGGGAGAGAUCAUAGUCAGAUCGGAUGUUCAUUCUUCAUUUCGGAGAGCAUAUUUAUAAAUCAAAUUUCUUGCCCCCCAAAUCCCUCGAUUCUGAUGAAGAAAAAGAAAAUAUUUUGCCCCUCAUGACCCUCGUAGUAUUAAUUUCAUCUUUCCUCAAAACCCUCGUUACUGAUGCAAACCCUUAGACUGAGGAGAAGAAAAGGAGGGGCCAAGGGGUGGAGAAUUAAGGGGAAGGGUUUAGAAUUUGGAACUGCU